This 299-nucleotide unclassified non-coding RNA is filed under the name plant metagenome. RNAcentral's name for it is "partial contains 5.8S ribosomal RNA, internal transcribed spacer 2, and large subunit ribosomal RNA". The stretch from base 1 to 105 matches the Rfam family "5.8S ribosomal RNA", at positions 50 to 154 of the family's 154-position model. The record is from RNAcentral.
GAAAUGCGAUAAGUAGUGUGAAUUGCAGAAUUUAGCGAAUCAUCGAAUCUUUGAACGCACAUUGCACUCGCCAGUAUUCUGGCGAGCAUGCCUGUUCGAGCGUCAUUUCAACCAUCAAGCUCUGCUUGCGUUGGGGAUCCGCGGCUGCCCGCGGUCCCUCAAAAACAGUGGCGGGCUCGCUAGUCACACCGAGCGUAGUAACUCUACAUCGCUAUGGUCGUGCGGCGGGUUCUUGCCGUAAAACCCCCAAUUUCUAAGGUUGACCUCGGAUCAGGUAGGAAUACCCGCUGAACUUAAGC